RNAcentral lists this ribosomal RNA (253 nucleotides) under uncultured bacterium. Its description in RNAcentral is "partial 16S ribosomal RNA". It matches the Rfam family "Bacterial small subunit ribosomal RNA", at positions 524 to 776 of the family's 1533-position model. The record is from RNAcentral.
UACGGAGGGUGCAAGCGUUAUCCGGAUUUACUGGGUUUAAAGGGUGUGUAGGCGGACUUGUAAGUCAGUGGUGAAAUCCCGGGGCUCAACCCCGGAACUGCCUUUGAUACUAUAAGUCUUGAAUGUUGUGGAGGUGGGCGGAACGGGUCAUGUAGCGGUGAAAUGCAUAGAUAUGACCCGGAACACCGAUUGCGAAGGCAGCCCGCUACGCAACUAUUGACGCUGAGGCACGAAAGCGUGGGGAUCAAACAGG